RNAcentral lists this long non-coding RNA (331 nucleotides) under Brassica rapa (field mustard). RNAcentral describes it as "long non-coding RNA (BRAP_LNC002623)". The record is from RNAcentral. Lineage: Eukaryota; Viridiplantae; Streptophyta; Magnoliopsida; Brassicales; Brassicaceae.
UUCCUCAACUGGUUCAGUGUCCUCGACCAUUUCCUCCACCGGUUGUGUCUCAUGUUCUAGUUCCUUAACAGCCUGAAUCUCACUGUCACCAUGCUUCUCUUCCACCAGUUGUGCCUCCUGAGCCACUUCCUCAACUGGUUCAGUGUUCUCGACCAUUUCCUCCACCGGCUGUGUCUCAUGUCCUAGUUCCUCAACAGGCUGAAUGUCACUGUCACCAUGCUUCUCUUCCACCAGUUGUGCCUCCUGAACCACUUGCUCAACAGGUUCAGUGUUCUGGACCAUUUCCUCCUCCGGUUGUCUCUCAUGUUCUACUUCCUCAACAAGAAUGUCA